ACUGAGAAAUGGUGCUGCUAAUGCUGGAAGUGCUAGUUUCACAUAUCUGCUCACCCAGAAGAGUAUCUUCUGGUAACAGUGUCUCUGCCCACAGCCGACAGAUGCCAUCGAGACAUGAUCUGUUGCAAAGUAUUCACCAUCAGGAGACCAUGACAUCAAAUGUACUGAUACUGCAGUCCUAGAGAACACAAGAGUAAAGUUUUAAACUCAUCUACAAUUUCUUGCUCCAGAGGAUGUCUACCAGCACAGUCAUUAACUGAGAAUAUGUUUAUGGAUUUUACAAUCUGAAGAUAGUUAGGUCAAUAACUACGUUGCCUGCAAACACCUGUUUUUGUGAGUACUAUUAUCACUGCUCUCCACACAAGCUUUUGAUACGGUCCCAUACAAUGCAGUCCCCUUACUAAAUGCCUAUCUGAACAUGAAAAUAUACAUUUUACCUGUAGAUGCAGUAAUAUCCAAAGUAGUCUUGCAAUUAUGCAGCUGCACACUAAAAUUAAAACUGGGUACAAAGCCUAGACUGAAAUAUUUCCAAGGCCAUUGCACAAAAGUGUAGUAAUGCAGCAUUGUCUUUCUGAGUCCUCAAACCUACAGCUGUUGUUCUGGGAAGCUCUGAGGAACUGAUACUGGGCUAUCAGUGUACUGCAAGCAGGACGGGGGUGGGGAACCAACUGCUACAAGGUGGUUACAGGGAGAUUAUCUGCAUAAGAAAAUACCUUAAGCUCCUUGAUGACUAGGCCAUGCAUUAUUAUACCUAGUAUGGAAGGGAACAAAUUAUUAUUAAAGUUGAAUAGAAUUAUUUCCAGAAAGUGGGAGUAAGAGAGACUGGAGAUACUGAAGUAACUUCUGGCACAAAACAGAAAAUCUUUUUGCUUUAUUGUUGUUCAACUUCUCAUAUUGGAUUCUGGUUGCAAAACAAACUCCGUGAGUGGUGUGGAAUGCUGGACAGUUCAGCAAGCAUUUGCAAGUAGGGUGAAGAAGAUGGAGACCAGGAUACAAAUGCCCACAGGAAGACAGGAGAACAAAAUCAGGUCCUGGAGUUCCAAUAUUUUAUUCAGAAUUCUAAUAUUCACAAGCAUUUUAAUCUCCUACUGCCUACUUCAAAGGGUGAGCAAUUAAAACAGCAAAGAUUCAUGUUCAGUUUUUUUCCAACAGUCUGCCUCAUAACUACUAAUACCAACAAACUAAGGGAUGCAAUUUAAAAUGUUGUUUGAUACAGUAAGGAAAAAAAAGGCACUGGUCCACUUAAAAUAAGAUCUUAAACUUUGCAAAUAGCUUUUUUUUUUCAUUGUUGGUAUUGAUGACGUGAAAAAGAAAGAGAUACAGACAUGUGCCUCAGAAAUAAUACAGAGAAAGGAAAAGACUAACCGACUUCAAUUAUGCUUACUGUUCUUAAACAUGCAUGUUUAUGUGUGUGUGUAUAGUUGAUAAUGGACGAAGCAGAAAAGUGUUAAUGCUUACAUAUGUCUGUUUACCCUGCAAAGGAAGAGAAUUUGUUUUUUAAAAUGUUGUAGUUUUCCUUCUUCUGUCCCCUAUCCUCACUUGUUAUUAUUGCAACAAAAGAACAUUUUCCAGGCUAAUUUUAACAUUUAGCAUUUUUAUAAAAUUAACUAAAAAGGUGGUUAUUAAGCAAAAGGGUGUUCUACAGUAGAAAGUUUUUUUUUUUUUUAAUUUUUCUUAAAGCAUCAUCAAGACAUGGAGAUCUGUUUCCUAAGUGAAAUCUUACUACUCUCUCUUCUGUUUCCUCCUCUUUGCCCGCAUAUGGCACUGCACCUAAGUGCCCUAUGUCAGUCCAUUGGAGUCCUCAGCCAGAGUACUUUCCCUGCAGGUAUCAGCCUGCAGCUCCAGGUUCUUUAAGGAAGCGCUGUCUCUUGGUUCUGAGCUCAUUUUCUUAGUGCAGAUACUUAUUUUGAGAACGUCUCUUGUUUCUUGAAGUUCUUUAAAAGUAUAUUUGCCAUAAAACUUGAGUAAGUACAUUGUAUCACCACUUCUGAGAAAAGUCACGCCCUCAUUUCAAAACGCGUUCGUUUUUUCACAUUUACAGUCUCCAAAUUUUUCAACAGAUCAAUGUACUUUCCUGUACUGAUAGUUACUUCUACAUAUCACCUUGUAUUAUCUAAAUACAGGCUUCCCAUUUGAUUACUUUUAUGAGGUUUUUCUAAUUAUCUCAAUAUAUUAUCAUGCUUAUACUAAAACAGAACAUGUCUCAGUCAAAUCCUCUUUUUAAUUUCUCCUUUCAUUCCUUAAGAGGGCUUAAAUAGAAGCCCCAUUACACUGACAAAGAAUAGGAAAGUGUAGUAAUAUUUGUAAUAUUUAACAUCAGUAGUUCCUUCUGAAGGACUCAGCUGGUAACACCUUCAAGGAGAUCCUUCAUGUCAGCACAGACCUCUCCUGCCAGAAGAACAGUGGCCACAGAAUUCGUGGCAACAGACUAAUCAUCUGCACAGCCUGAGGGAAGGGAUGGAAAACUGGUAAGCCACGCAAAAAGGAAAGAUGGAAAGUAAGAUGCUGAGAGAUGCUGUAAUGGAUCAGCAGUGCAGAGGCCUUAGAUAUACAGUUAUAAGCAGUCACUGAAUGAAACCAGUGCAGCAAAACCACCCACAUGGCAUACCUGCCAACCUCCAUUUCCAAUGUCACUGGUAACUUUAAAGAGAAAAUUAAAUGGAUUUGUGAAACUGCCAGAAUGCAAGGAUGACUUGCAGGAUCCCCAAGCAGCUAAUAAGCUGUGGUUUGCCAAUGUUUGCUAAAGAUCUGAGCCUACAGAAAUGAGCAAUGUCAAAGCUUUAAUUGAAUGCAGGAAUACCAGGCUUAGGCUCUGAUAUAGUAGGACACUGUGCUAAGAUAGGCGAAACCAAACAUGGUUUGAAAAAUGGAGGUAGUUUACAACCUUUAAAAAACAUACUGGCUGUCAGUUACACUACAAAGUUCAGAUAACAUAUGCCUUUUCUGGUUAGUCAGGGUGCGCAUGUUGUAAGACCCCUUUGCAUAGCGAUCAGCUCUGACCACCUGUAACUUCUGUAAACUCCUUUGUGGAACAGGGUUAGUAGAAGCUGCAGAAAUGAAAACACGAAGCCCUGCUCCCAGCAAGUUGGAUAGUGCACUGAAUUGCUACCAGAAUGAAACAAGAAAGCUGUCAUUCAGUACUAAAACAAAAACAAUGAAAAAAUGACAAACUGCCUUGUCCUAGCACCUAUUUCUUUGGAUUGUUUCACUUCAUGGAGUCACUAAUACCUAUUUUUUUAGCAAAUUAAAAAAAAAAACUUUAAUAGCAAAAUUAUUUAUUUAUCCUUUCUUAUGCUCAGAAUAACUAGAUGCCAUUCACCUAAAACUUUAAACAAACACUUUUAAGGCAGAAUGUAUCAUCAGCACUCCAGCUACUCUGACCUGGAAUUUAAAAGCCUCCACCAAAUACAGAGAAGGGAGAGAAAGCAAAGAGGAAAGUUAUAGCUGUGGAUGUCCAGGAAGUGCACUCAUUGUCAUACCCAUCCCUUUAGUUCCUUCUUUAACAGUUCCUUCUUGGACAUAGCAGCCAGAUAAGCAAGUGAGGUCCGUUAUAUGCAGCUCUAUAGUUAAAACAUGCUACCACGAUUCUACUUUUUCUGUUUCUUUUUGUAAAAUAACAAAAUGCAAUGAGUACAAGGAAAAAAAAAAAAAACUGUUCUCAGAAAAGUCUUAUGUGAGCUGUAAUUUAUGUUAUUAUUCAUUUUUGAUGAUAUCAAAACUAUUAUGAGAAAUAGCAUAAAGUUGUCUUUUAUAGUAUUAGACUUUUCAAGUUGUUACAGCAAAAGGAAACAUGUUUGAAUACGGGUAUAUUACGGUGUAAAUACCAAAGGAGGCCCUUUAAUAUCAGCAUGGCUGCACAGCAGCAAGACAAGGAAAGGAAAAGAUGGCACCUUUUAUUCCUUAUGAAUUUCAGCACUCAAUACCAAAAUUAGACAUCUGUGGUAAUGUGAAGUAGGCUUUAAAUGCGGGACAAGUCAGCUGUCCUGGGCUAGAAACGAUGCUGUACAUCGUUUAUUUGGUUUGUAGUUAUUAUCUUGCAAACGUUAACAGGGAACCUAGUGAGACAAUGUAUUCACAGCCAGCCACGCACUGCUCGGAUGCCGUGUGCCGAGCACUGCAGCAGCUGAUGGCUGGCUACAAUCCGACAAGCACACCAUAAGCUGAAGAAGGGAAAACUGCCAUGGCAAUUGGAGGAAAAAAAAAACCCACCCCGUGGGUGAUGAACGCAUUUAUUACGCGAGUUCCUAGACUCCUGAAAUGCACUUCAUCUCUCUCUUUCCCUCCUCCUCCGAGGCUGCACUUGGCAGAGCAAUCUGUGCCUCGGCAGCAGCGGGCGGCCCCCCCAGCCGCGCACCGCGUUACAAAACCGCCCCCGCAGCGAGGGGUGCGCAGCUCCCGACCCGCACCGCAGCCCCGCA
Numida meleagris (helmeted guineafowl) is the source of this 4418-nucleotide long non-coding RNA. RefSeq lists it as uncharacterized. The record is from RefSeq and is a predicted model, not a curated record. The transcript is spliced from 3 exons. Lineage: Eukaryota; Metazoa; Chordata; Aves; Galliformes; Numididae.